CCAGAGCUCCUACGGGAGGCAGCAGUGAGGAAUAUUGGUCAAUGGGCGAGAGCCUGAACCAGCCAAGUAGCGUGAAGGAUGACUGCCCUAUGGGUUGUAAACUUCUUUUAUAAAGGAAUAAAGUCGGGUAUGCAUACCGUUUGCAUGUACUUUAUGAAUAAGGAUCGGCUAACUCCGUGC
RNAcentral lists this ribosomal RNA (180 nucleotides) under uncultured bacterium. RNAcentral describes it as "partial 16S ribosomal RNA". It matches the Rfam family "Bacterial small subunit ribosomal RNA", at positions 330 to 508 of the family's 1533-position model. The record is from RNAcentral.